GUCCACGCUGUAAACGAUGAUUACUAGGUGUGGGGGUCUGACCCCUUCCGUGCCGGAGUUAACACAAUAAGUAAUCCACCUGGGGAGUACGGCCGCAAGGUUGAAACUCAAAGGAAUUGACGGGGCCCGCACAAGCAGUGGAGUAUGUGGUUUAAUUCGAAGCAACGCGAAGAACCUUACCAGGUCUUGACAUCCAACUAACGAAGUAGAGAUACAUUAGGUGCCUUUCGGGGAAAGUUGAGACAGGUGGUGCAUGGUUGUCGU
Molecule: ribosomal RNA, 264 nt
Filed under: uncultured bacterium
Lineage: Bacteria
Description: partial 16S ribosomal RNA
Rfam family: Bacterial small subunit ribosomal RNA
Source: RNAcentral